RNAcentral lists this ribosomal RNA (399 nucleotides) under uncultured Methanosaeta sp. RNAcentral's name for it is "bacterial SSU rRNA". It matches the Rfam family "Archaeal small subunit ribosomal RNA", at positions 941 to 1338 of the family's 1478-position model. The record is from RNAcentral. Lineage: Archaea; Methanobacteriati; Methanobacteriota; Methanomicrobia; Methanotrichales; Methanotrichaceae.
AGCAAUAUGAAGGUCAGGCUGAAGACCUUACCCGAUUUAGCUGAGAGGUGGUGCAUGGCCGUCGUCAGUUCGUACUGUGAAGCAUCCUGUUAAGUCAGGCAACGAGCGAGACCCACGUCCACAGUUGCCAGCAUACCCUCCGGGGUGAUGGGUACACUGUGGAGACCGCCGCUGCUAAAGCGGAGGAAGGAGUGGGCAACGGUAGGUCAGUAUGCCCCGAAUCUCUCGGGCUACACGCGGGCUACAAUGGUUGGUACAAUGGGCAUCUACCCCGAAAGGGGAAGGAAAUCUCUUAAAGCCAAUCGUAGUUCGGAUUGAGGGCUGCAACUCGCCCUCAUGAAGCUGGAAUCCGUAGUAAUCGCGUUUCAACAGAACGCGGUGAAUACGUCCCUGCUCCUU